Molecule: long non-coding RNA, 6422 nt
Filed under: Mytilus galloprovincialis (Mediterranean mussel)
Lineage: Eukaryota; Metazoa; Mollusca; Bivalvia; Mytilida; Mytilidae
Source: RNAcentral
AAGGUUGUCGCAUAUCAAAUGAAAGAACAUAAAGCGUACAUUUCAAAUUUCAAAUUGACGUCUCCCAAAAAUGGGUUGGAUGGGGUCAUUGAGUGCAAAAAAUAAAUUUUCUUUUAAGAUAGGGUUGUUGUAUAUCAAAUGAAAGGUCAUGAUGUGUACAUUUGAAAUAUCAAAUUCCCGACCUCCAAAAAUUAGUUGGAUAGGGUUAUUAAGUGCAAAAAUCAAACUUUCUAGAACAUGGCGUUGUCGCAUAUCAAAUGAAAGCUCAUCUACUCUGUGUUACAUAUAUCAUAAUUCCGAUCUCAAAAAUGUAGGCGGAUGAGGUCAUUAAGUGUUAAAAAGCGAAAAGUUUCAGAAGGUAUGCUUGUCGUAUAUCAAACGAAAGGUCGUACAAAGUACAUUACGAAAACAUCACUUUUACAGGAAAGACCUUUCAAUUGUUUUACAAACAAUUGAGAUACUAGUUUAAGGUCUUCCUCUCCGCGAGGAAAGACCUUAUUGUUUUUCUUUUUUUUUUUUUUUUUUUUUUUUUUUUUUUUUUUUUUUUUCAUCCAGCAUUUGUUUAACAUGGCCUCCCCUUGUUUCUAUUGGAGUUAUCAAGACCAAAUAUGGACCAUCGGUAGACCUCAUCAUGAAGUAUUACCAGAUGAGGCUGUGUAGGAUUUCAUCAUCCCCUUUAGAAGUUAUCUCCCUUUUAUUGGUUUUUUUUCGACAUGGCCCCCCCUCGUUGUUUUUGAAGAUAUCAUGACCUUAUUUGGACAAUAGUUAGAUCUCAUCAUGAUGUGUUACCAUAUGAGGCUGCUAAGGAUUUCAUCAUUCCCUAUGAGAGUUAUGUCCCCUUGAAAGCAAUUUCUUUUCUUUGCAUUUUUCUCAAAAAGUAUUCAAGAUAGAAUCGAUUUGAAAACGGCAACAUGUACAGGACCAGAGAUGGCAAUGUUAAUUAACAUAUACAAUCAUUUUGUUGUUAACCCUUAUAAGGAGUUAUUUCCCUUGAAAAAAUAUACACAAUUUUUGAAAAAUUGUAUCUCGAGAACCGGAAGUCGUAAAGACUUGGGACCUACACCAAUAAUCUUAAGUUCAUGUGACCUUUAAUUUGCACCCAAGGUCAAAGGUCACCGAGUGCAAGAAAAAAAUUACGCUGCAAUUUCAAGCUUCAUAUUAGGAAAACGAUAACAGUUUGCUGCAUACUUACAGCGUAUAAAAUGUUCCUCUCGACGAGCUCUACAUUUUAUACACUGAGCCCAAAAAUGUCCGACUGUCUGUUCAAAAGUUACGACGGGAUGAUUCUUAAAAAGUAUAGUAUUGUGUGUAUAUCUUUUUAAAGGUAACAGAUAUCAACCUACUAUAAACUGCAAAGAUGAUCAGUAGUUCAAGACCUUCAAUUUGAGGUCAAUGUCAGGUCAUGAUGAAAUUUCACCUUGACCUUCACAUUUUACUAUGACCUUGACCUUGUGAAUAUUUGAAAGGUCAAGUGGUCCUGAGUUGAAUGGUGAUAGUCCCAUGUCUCUACGACUUCCGGUUCUCAAGUUUUGUAUUGCAUCAUAUAUUUGAUGAUUAAUUGUGACCUUGGUGAACUUUGAAAUUGUCCCAAUUCUUUUUCUAUAAUGUUGUCCUUCAACUGUAGAUCAUUUAUCAUUUAACAGAUUUGAGAUAUCUAUUGUCGUUUUAGAGAUAAUGCAGUUUGAAGUUUUUGCGAGCGGAGGCAUGUAUUUCUGAAUCAUCAAGAGCUUACCACUUAAAAAUGUUUUAGAAAUUGAAGAGGUUGACAUAGUUAUAUGUUUGACCCAAAUACCAAAAACAUUCCAUGGAAAAAAACACCAAAAAUCAAUUUGAAAUUUUCAAGUUUUGCAUUGACUUUGUAAGUUUCAUAACUUCUAUUUAUAUAAUUGAUAUUGCAUCAUUAUUUGCACUUUGUCAAAUGGGGUCAUCUGAUAUAUCAAAUUGAAGGUCUUAAUAAACUCUACUUAAAAAUGAAAAUUUUAAACCCCCUUUUCAUCCCAGGGGGACGGGUGGGGUCAUUUAGUGCAAACAUUCAAAUUUCUCAGAUGGUAAGGUUGUCGCAUAUCAAAUGAAAGAACAUAAAGCGUACAUUUCAAAUUUCAAAUUGACGUCUCCCAAAAAUGGGUUGGAUGGGGUCAUUGAGUGCAAAAAAUAAAUGUUUCUUUUAAGGUAGGGUUGUUGUAUAUCAAAUGAAAGGUCAUGAUGUGUACAUUUGAAAUAUCAAAUUCCCGACCUCCAAAAAUUUGUUGGAUAGGGUUAUUAAGUGCAAAAAUCAAACUUUCAAGAACAUGGUGUUGUCGCAUAUCAAACGAAAGCUCAUCUACUCUGUUCCAUAUAUCAUAAUUCCGAUCUCAAAAAUGUAGACGGAUGAGGUCAUUAAGUGUAAAAAGCGAAAAGUUUCAGAAGGUGUGCUUGUCGUAUAUCAAACGAAAGGUCGUACAAAGUACAUUACGAAAACAUCACUUUUACCCUUUCAAUUUUUUACAAACAAUUGAGAUACUAGUUUUUUUUUUUUUCUUCAACAUUUUUUGACAUGCCCCUCCCCUUGUUUCUGUUGAAGUUAUUAAGACCAAAUAUGGACCAUCGCUAGACCUCAUCAUGAACUGUAUUACCAGAUGACCCUGUUUGUAAGGAUUUCAUCAUCCCCUUUAGAAGUUAUCUCCCUUUUAUUGAUUUUUUUCAACAUGGUCCCCCCUCGUUGUUUUAAAAGAUAUCAUGACUUUAUUUGGACAAUAGUAGAUCUCAUCAUGAUGUAUUACCAUAUGAGGCUGAAUAGGAUUUCAUCAUCCCUAUGAGAGUUAUAUCCCCUUGAAGCAAUUUCUUUCUUUGCAUUUUUCUCAAAAAGUAUAAGAGAUAGAAUCGAUUUGAAAACGGCAACAUGUACAGGAACAGAUGGCAAUGUUAAUGAACAUAUACAAUCAUUUUGUUAUUAACCCUUAUAAGGAGUUAUUUCCCUUGAAAAAUUAUACAUAAUUUUUGAAAAAAUUGUAUUUCGAGAACCGGAAGUCGUAGAAGACUUGGGACCUUCACCAAUAAUCUUAAGUUCAUGUGACCUUUAAUUUGCACCCAAGGUCAAAGGUCACCGAGUGCAAAAAAAAAUUACGCUGCAAUUUCAAGCUUUCAUAUUAAGAAAACGAUAAGACUUUGCUGCAUACUUACAGCGUUAUAAAUGUUCCUCUCGACGAGCUCUACAUUUUAUACACUGAGCUCAAAAGUGUCCGACUGUCUGUUCAAAAGUUACAACGGGAUGAUUCUUAAAAGUAUAGUAUUGUGUGUAUAUCUUUUUAAAGGUAACAGAUAUCAACCUACUAUAAACUGCAAAGAUGAUCAGUAAUUCAAGACCUUCAAUUUGAGGUCAAUGUCAGGUCAUGAUGAAAUUUCACCUUGACCUUCACAUUAUACUAUGACCUUGACCUUGUGAUAUUUGAAAGGUCAAGUGGUCCUGAGUUGAAUGGUGAUAGUCCCAUGUCUCUACGACUUCCGGUUCUUAAGUUUUGGUAUUGCAUCAUAUAUUUGAUGAUUAAUUGUGACCUUUGGUGAACUUUGAAAUUGUCCCAAUUCUUUUCUAUAAUGUUGUCCCUUCAACUGUAGAUCAUUUAUCAUUUAACAGAUUUGAGAUAUCUAUUGUCGUUUUAGAGAUAAUGCAGUUUGAAGUUUUGCGAGCGGAGGCAUGUAUUUUCUGAAUCAACAAGAGCUUAUACCACUUAAAAUGUUUAGAAAUUGAAGAGGUUAACAUAGUUAUAUGUUUGACCAAAUACCAAAAACAUUCCAUGGAAAAAAACGCCAAAAAAUUCAAUUUUGAAAUUUUCAAGUUUUUGCAUUGACUUUGUAAGUUUCAUAAACUUCUAUUUAUAUAGUUGAUAUUGCAUCAUUAUUUGCACUUUGUCAAAUGGGGUCAUCUGAUAUAUCAAAUUGAAGGUCUCAAUAAACUCUACUUAAAAAUGAAAAUUUUAAACCCCCUUUUCAUCCCAGGGGGACGGGUGGGGUCAUUUAGUGCAAACAUUUCAAAUUUCUCAGAUGGUAAGGUUGUCGCAUAUCAAAUGAAAGAACAUAAAGCGUACAUUUCAAAUUUCAAAUUGACGUCUCCCAAAAAUGGGUUGGAUGGGGUCAUUGAGUGCAAAAAAUAAAUUUUCUUUUAAGAUAGGGUUGUUGUAUAUCAAAUGAAAGGUCAUGAUGUGUACAUUUGAAAUAUCAAAUUCCCGACCUCCAAAAAUUAGUUGGAUAGGGUUAUUAAGUGCAAAAAUCAAACUUUCUAGAACAUGGCGUUGUCGCAUAUCAAAUGAAAGCUCAUCUACUCUAUGUUACAUAUAUCAUAAUUCCGAUCUCAAAAAUGUAGGCGGAUGAGGUCAUUAAGUGUAAAAAAGCGAAAAAGUUUCAGAAGGUAUGCUUGUCGUAUAUCAAACGAAAGGUCGUACAAAGUACAUUACGAAAACAUCACUUUUACAGGAAAGACCUUUCAAUUGUUUUACAAACAAUUGAGAUACUAGUUUUUUUUUUUUUUUUUUUUUUUUUUUUUUUUUUUUCAUCCAGCAUUUGUUUGACAUGGCCUCCCCUUGUUUCUAUUGAGUUAUCAAGACCAAAUAUGGACCAUCGGUAGACCUCAUCAUGAAGUAUUACCAGAUGAGGCUGUGUAGGAUUUCAUCAUCCCCUUUAGAAGUUAUCUCCCUUUUAUUGAUUUUUUUUCGACAUGGCCCCCCCUCGUUGUUUUGAAAGAUAUCAUGACCUUAUUUGGACAAUAGUUAGAUCUCAUCAUGAUGUGUUACCAUAUGAGGCUGCUAAGGAUUUCAUCAUUCCCUAUGAGAGUUAUGUCCCCUUGAAGCAAUUUCUUUCUUUUACAUUUUUCUCAAAAAGUAUUCAAGAUAGAAUCGAUUUGAAAACGGCAACAUGUACAAGAACAGAUGGCAAUGUUAAUGAACAUAUACAAUCAUUUUGUUGUUAACCCUUAUAAGGAGUUAUUUCCCUUGAAAAAAUAUACACAAUUUUUGAAAAAUUGUAUCUUCGAGAACCGGAAGUCGUAAAGACUUGGGACCUACACCAAUAAUCUUAAGUUCAUGUGACCUUUAAUUUGCACCCAAGGUCAAAGGUCACCGAGUGCAAAAAAAAUUACGCUGCAAUUUCAAGCUUUCAUAUUAAGAAAACGAUAAGAGUUUGCUGCAUACUUACAGCGUAUAAAAUGUUCCUCUCGACGAGCUCUACAUUUUAUACACUGAGCUCAAAAGAGUCCGACUGUCUGUUCAAAAGUUACGACGGGAUGAUUCUUAAAAGUAUAGUAUUGUGUGUAUAUCUUUUUAAAGGUAACAGAUAUCAACCUACUAUAAACUGCAAAGAUGAUCAGUAGUUCAAGACCUUCAAUUUGAGGUCAAUGUCAGGUCAUGAUGAAAUUUCACCUUGACCUUCACAUUUAUACUAUGACCUUGACCUUGUGAUAUUUGAAAGGUCAAGUGGUCCUGAGUUGAAUGGUGAUAGUCCCAUGUCUCUACGACUUCCGGUUCUCAAGUUUUGUAUUGCAUCAUAUAUUUGAUGAUUAAUUGUGACCUUGGUGAACUUUGAAAUUGUCCCAAUUCUUUUUCUAUAAUGUUGUCCUUCAACUGUAGAUCAUUUAUCAUUUAACAGAUUUGAGAUAUCUAUUGUCGUUUUAGAGAUAAUGCAGUUUGCAAGUUUUGCGAGCGGAGGCAUGUAUUUCUGAAUCAUCAAAAGAGCUUACCACUUAAAAUGUUUUAGAAAUUGAAGAGGUUAACAUAGUUAUAUGUUUGACAAAUACCAAAAACAUUCCAUGGAAAAAAACACCAAAAAAUUCAAUUUGAAAUUUUCAAGUUUUGCAUUGACUUUGUAAGUUUCAUAACUUCUAUUUAUAUAGUUGAUAUUGCAUCAUUAUUUGCACUUUGUCAAAUGGGGUCAUCUGAUAUAUCAAAUUGAAGGUCUUAAUAAACUCUACUUAAAAAUGAAAAUUUUAAACCUUUUCAUCCCAGGGGAAGGGUGGGGUCAUUUAGUGCAAACAUUCAAAUUUCUCAGAUGGUAAGGUUGUCGCAUAUCAAAUGAAAGAACAUAAAGCGUACAUUUCAAAUUUCAAAUUGACGUCUCCCAAAAAUGGGUUGGAUGGGGGUCAUUGAGUGCAAAAAAUAAAUGUUCUUUUAAGGUAAGGUUGUUGCAUAUCAAUUGAAAGGUCAUGAUGUGUACAUUUGAAAUAUAUCAUAAUUCCGAUCUCAAAAAUGUAGGCGGAUGAGGUUAUUAAGUGUAAAAAGCGAAAAGUUUCAGAAGGUAUGCUUGUCGUAUAUAUCAAGACGAAAAGGUUGUACAAAGUACAUUACGAAAAACAUCACUUUUACAGGAAGACCUUUCAAUUGUUUUACAACAAUUGAGAUACUAGUUAAGGUCUUUCCCCUACAUGGAGAAAGACCUUAUUGUUUUUCUAAUGUUUUUUU